GGGAAUUCGAUUAGAGUUUGAUCCUGGCUCACCUUGAACGCUGGCGGCAUGCCUUACACAUGCAAGUCGAACGGCAGCACGGGUGCUUGCACCUGGUGGCGAGUGGCGAACGGGUGAGUAAUACAUCGGANNNNNNNCNNUAGUGGGGGAUAGCCCGGCGAAAGCCGGAUUAAUACCGCAUACGAUCUUUGGAUGAAAGCGGGGGAUCUUCGGACCUCGCGCUAUUGGGGUGGCCGAUGGCGGAUUAGCUAGUUGGUGGGGUAAAGGCCCACCAAGGCGACGAUCCGUAGCUGGUCUGAGAGGACGACCAGCCACACUGGGACUGAGACACGGCCCAGACUCCUACGGGAGGCAGCAGUGGGGAAUUUUGGACAAUGGGCGAAAGCCUGAUCCAGCAAUGCCGCGUGUGUGAAGAAGGCCUUCGGGUUGUAAAGCACUUUUGUCCGGAAAGAAAUCCUGGUGGCUAAUAUCCGCCGGGGAUGACGGUACCGGAAGAAUAAGCACCGGCUAACUACGUGCCAGCAGCCGCGGUAAUACGUAGGGUGCGAGCGUUAAUCGGAAUUACUGGGCGUAAAGCGUGCGCAGGCGGUGAUGUAAGACCGAUGUGAAAUCCCCGGGCUUAACCUGGGAACUGCAUUGGUGACUGCAUCGCUGGAGUAUGGCAGAGGGGGGUAGAAUUCCACGUGUAGCAGUGAAAUGCGUAGAGAUGUGGAGGAAUACCGAUGGCGAAGGCAGCCCCCUGGGCCAAUACUGACGCUCAUGCA
RNAcentral lists this ribosomal RNA (764 nucleotides) under bacterium enrichment culture clone PF-1_62. Its description in RNAcentral is "bacterial SSU rRNA". It matches the Rfam family "Bacterial small subunit ribosomal RNA", at positions 1 to 753 of the family's 1533-position model. The record is from RNAcentral.